Molecule: small nucleolar RNA, 90 nt
Filed under: Tortispora caseinolytica NRRL Y-17796
Lineage: Eukaryota; Fungi; Ascomycota; Trigonopsidomycetes; Trigonopsidales; Trigonopsidaceae
Source: RNAcentral
GAUCGAGGACGAUUUAUAGCACUGGGCACUGAAUUUUUAUUUGAUUGACAAUGCUUAAAGCAGGCCUCAGAAACCUGUGUGACUGAGAUC